UGUAUAUAUCAAAAGAUGGCAGGGAC
This 26-nucleotide non-coding RNA is filed under the name Mus musculus (house mouse). The record is from RNAcentral. Lineage: Eukaryota; Metazoa; Chordata; Mammalia; Rodentia; Muridae.